GUACAUCAAUUAGUGAAAGGUUG
Molecule: small RNA, 23 nt
Filed under: Vibrio cholerae O1 biovar El Tor str. N16961
Lineage: Bacteria; Pseudomonadati; Pseudomonadota; Gammaproteobacteria; Vibrionales; Vibrionaceae
Source: RNAcentral